RNAcentral lists this transfer RNA (72 nucleotides) under Marmota marmota marmota (Alpine marmot). It matches the Rfam family "tRNA". From Rfam's summary of the family: Transfer RNA (tRNA) molecules are approximately 80 nucleotides in length. Their secondary structure includes four short double-helical elements and three loops (D, anti-codon, and T loops). RNAcentral also lists the same sequence under 2 other names. Lineage: Eukaryota; Metazoa; Chordata; Mammalia; Rodentia; Sciuridae. The record is from Rfam by way of RNAcentral.
AGGGAUGUAGAUCAGUGGUAGAGCACUUGCUUAGUAUGUGAAAGGCCCUGGGUUCAAUUCCCAGCACUGCAA